GGACGAACGCUGGCGGCGUGCUUAAUACAUGCAAGUCGAGCGGGGUUAGAUUUUCAAUAUCCUUCGGGGUAGCGAUUUUCUAACCUAGCGGCGGACGGGUGAGUAACGCGUGGGCAACCUGCCCUAAAGCCUGGGAUAACAGCGGGAAACCGCUGCUAAUACCGGAUAUCUUUACGAAGAGGCAUCUUUUAGUAAAGAAAGGGAAUGAAUGCUUGCAUUCAUUUUACGCUUUAGGAUGGGCCCGCGUCCCAUUAGCUAGUUGGUGAGGUAACGGCUCACCAAGGCAACGAUGGGUAGCCGGCCUGAGAGGGUGGACGGCCACACUGGGACUGAGACACGGCCCAGACUCCUACGGGAGGCAGCAGUAGGGAAUUUUGCGCAAUGGGGGAAACCUUGACGCAGCGACGCCGCGUGAGUGAUGAAGGCCUUCGGGUUGUAAAGCUCUGUUGGGGGGGAAGAUAGUGACGGUACCCCCUGAGGAAGCCCCGGCUAACUACGUGCCAGCAGCCGCGGUAAGACGUAGGGGGCGAGCGUUGUCCGGAAUUACUGGGCGUAAAGGGCGUGUAGGCGGCCUUUCAAGUCGGCUGUGAAAUUCCUCGGCUUAACUGAGGGUGUGCAGUCGAAACUGAUGGGCUUGAGUGCAGGAGAGGGUGGUGGAAUUCCCGGUGUAGCGGUGACAUGCGUAGAUAUCGGGAGGAACACCGGUGGCGAAGGCGGCCUCCUGGUCUGUUACUGACGCUGAGGCGCGAAAGCCGGGGGAGCAAACAGGAUUAGAUACCCUGGUAGUCCCGGCCGUAAACUCUGGGUACUAGGUGUGGGGGGCUUCGAUGCCUUCUGUGCCGUAGUUAACGCAUUAAGUACCCCGCCUGGGGAGUACGAUCGCAAGGUUG
This 890-nucleotide ribosomal RNA is filed under the name uncultured Clostridia bacterium. RNAcentral describes it as "bacterial SSU rRNA". It matches the Rfam family "Bacterial small subunit ribosomal RNA", at positions 27 to 896 of the family's 1533-position model. Lineage: Bacteria; Bacillati; Bacillota; Clostridia. The record is from RNAcentral.